AGAAAAGCGAGUAAGGGCACACGGUGGAUGCCUAGGCAUACAGAGGCGAAGAAGGACGUGUAAAGCUGCGAUAAGCUGCGGGGAGUUGCAUAAGAACUGUGAUCCGUGGAUUUCCGAAUGGGGCAACCCACCUUAAUUUAUUAGGGUACCACGCUUCGGCGUGGGGCAUACCCCCCGAACUGAAACAUCUAAGUAGGGGGAGGAAGAGAAAACAACAGUGAUUCCGCAAGUAGUGGCGAGCGAACGCGGAACAGCCCAAACCGCACCCUACGGGGUGCGGGGUAGUAGGACCUGCAUAAAGCAAGCGCUCUUAAAUCGAAGCUGCCUGGAAAGCAGCGCCACAGAAGGUGAAAGCCCUGUAGGUGUACGGAGCGAUUGUGGGCGGGUAUCCUGAGUAGCGCGAGGCCGGUGAAACCUUGCGUGAACCAGCCGGCACCAUCCGGUAAGGCUAAAUACAUCUGUAUGACCGAUAGUGAACCAGUACCGUGAGGGAAAGGUGAAAAGAACGCCGAGAAGGCGAGUGAAAUAGUACCUGAAACCGUGUGCUUACAAGCGGUCGGAGUCUCAGUUUACUGGGAUGACGGCGUGCCUUUUGUAUAAUGAGCCUACGAGUUACUCCUGUUGUGCGAGGUUAAGCCCCUGAGGGGUGGAGCCGUAGCGAAAGCGAGUCUGAACAGGGCGCGCAGUACAGCGGGGUAGACGCGAAACCAAGUGAUCUAUCCAUGGCCAGGGUGAAGUGGCGGUAAAACGCCAUGGAGGCCCGAACCCGUUGACGUUGAAAAGUCUUGGGAUGAGCUGUGGAUAGGGGUGAAAGGCCAAUCAAACUUGGAGAUAGCUCGUACUCCCCGAAAUAUAUUUAGGUAUAGCGUCUGGUAUUGUCUGUCCGGAGGUAGAGCACUGAUAGGGCUAGGGGGCUUCACCGCCUACCAACCCCUGACAAACUCCGAAUGCCGGCACAGAGCCACCAGGCAGUCAGUCGUGGGGUGAUAACGUCCUGCGGCGAGAGGGGAACAACCCAGACCACCAGCUAAGGCCCCUAAAUAAUGGCUAAGUUGAUCAAAGAAAGUUGAGUUGCUCAGACAACUAGGAGGUUGGCUUAGAAGCAGCCAUUCCUUUAAAGAGUGCGUAAUAGCUCACUAGUCAAGCGACUCGGCGUCGAUAAUAAUCGGGCAUAAGCCAUUUGCCGAAGCUGUGGGAAUGAAUAAUUCGGUAGGGGAGCAUUCCAGUUGCAUCGAAGGUGCUGCCGCGAGGCGUGCUGGAGCGACUGGAAGCGAAACUGUAGGCAUGAGUAACGAUAAGAAGGGUGAAAAACCCUUCCACCGUAAACCCAAGGGUUCCUGAUCAACGCUAAUCGGAUCAGGGUUAGUCGAGACCUAAGGUGUACCCGGUAUAGCCGGGGAAGCUGAUGGCAAAGCGGUUAAAUAUUCCGCUACCUGGGUGAACGUUAGGCUAAGGCGUGACGCAGAAGUGAAACUCCCGCGUGCUGACGAAUGCACGUUAAAGGGCGUAGGCCGGGGGGCAGGCAAAUCCGCCUCCCGUUAAGGCUGAACCCCGACAGUACCCGGAUUCUCACGAUGAAGGGAUAGUGGAGGUAAUCAUGCUGCCAAGAAAAGCGUCGUAGUUUGUUCAACCAGCUCGUACCCCAAACCGACACAGGUGGGUGAGGAGAGUAUCCUAAGGUGCUCGAGUAAUUCAUGGCUAAGGAACUAGGCAAAUUAGAUCCGUAACUUCGGGAGAAGGAUCCCCCUCCUUUGGAGGGGCGCAGUGAAAAGGCCCAAGCGACUGUUUACCAAAAACACAUGUCUCUGCUAAGCCGCAAGGCGAUGUAUAGGGACUGACACCUGCCCGGUGCUGGAAGGUUAAGGAAGGGAGUUAGCCUCGGCGAAGCUCUUAACUGAAGCCCCAGUAAACGGCGGCCGUAACUAUAACGGUCCUAAGGUAGCGAAAUUCCUUGUCGGGUAAGUUC
RNAcentral lists this ribosomal RNA (1966 nucleotides) under Pseudomonadales bacterium. Its description in RNAcentral is "partial 23S ribosomal RNA". It matches the Rfam family "Bacterial large subunit ribosomal RNA", at positions 1 to 1983 of the family's 2925-position model. Lineage: Bacteria; Pseudomonadati; Pseudomonadota; Gammaproteobacteria; Pseudomonadales. The record is from RNAcentral.